RNAcentral lists this unclassified non-coding RNA (378 nucleotides) under plant metagenome. RNAcentral's name for it is "partial contains 5.8S ribosomal RNA, internal transcribed spacer 2, and large subunit ribosomal RNA". The stretch from base 1 to 105 matches the Rfam family "5.8S ribosomal RNA", at positions 50 to 154 of the family's 154-position model. The record is from RNAcentral.
GAAAUGCGAUAAGUAAUGUGAAUUGCAGAAUUCAGUGAAUCAUCGAAUCUUUGAACGCACCUUGCGCUCCUUGGUAUUCCUUGGAGCAUGCCUGUUUGAGUAUCAUGAAAUCUUCAAAGUAAAUCUUUUCUUAACUCAAUUGGUUUCUACUUUGGUAUUGGAGGUCUUUGCAGCUUCACACCUGCUCCUCUUUGUUCAUUAGCUGGAUCUCAGUGUUAUGCUUGGUUCCACUCGGCGUGAUAAGUUAUCUAUCGCUGAGGACACUGUAAAAGGUGGCCAAGGUAAAUGCAGAUGAACCGCUUCUAAUAGUCCAUUGACUUGGACAAUACUUUUAUGAUCUGAUCUCAAAUCAGGUAGGACUACCCGCUGAACUUAAGC